Molecule: transfer RNA, 89 nt
Filed under: Planctomycetota bacterium
Lineage: Bacteria; Pseudomonadati; Planctomycetota
Also listed under: 1 other name
Description: tRNA-Ser
Rfam family: tRNA
About the family: Transfer RNA (tRNA) molecules are approximately 80 nucleotides in length. Their secondary structure includes four short double-helical elements and three loops (D, anti-codon, and T loops).
Source: RNAcentral
UGGAGAGGUGUCCGAGUGGCUGAAGGAGCAGCACUGGAAAUGCUGUAUAGGGGUAACCCUAUCGGGGGUUCGAAUCCCCCCCUCUCCGU